RNAcentral lists this ribosomal RNA (505 nucleotides) under Yamadazyma diddensiae. Its description in RNAcentral is "LSU rRNA". It matches the Rfam family "Eukaryotic large subunit ribosomal RNA", at positions 129 to 689 of the family's 3401-position model. The record is from RNAcentral. Lineage: Eukaryota; Fungi; Ascomycota; Pichiomycetes; Serinales; Debaryomycetaceae.
CUUCGGCGUCCGAGUUGUAAUUUGAAGAAGGUAUCUUUGAGGCUGGCUCUUGUCUAUGUUCCUUGGAACAGGACGUCACAGAGGGUGAGAAUCCCGUGCGAUGAGAUGCCCAGUUUCGUGUAAAGUUCCUUCGACGAGUCGAGUUGUUUGGGAAUGCAGCUCUAAGUGGGUGGUAAAUUCCAUCUAAAGCUAAAUAUUGGCGAGAGACCGAUAGCGAACAAGUACUGUGAAGGAAAGAUGAAAAGAACUUUGAAAAGAGAGUGAAAAAGUACGUGAAAUUGUUGAAAGGGAAGGGCUUGAGGUCAGACUUGGUUUACCAGGCCAGCAUCAGUUUGGGUGGCAGGAUAAUAGCUAAGGAAAGUGGCACGAUUUCGGUUGUGUGUUAUAGCCUUGGUUGAUACUGCCUGCCUAGACUGAGGACUGCGUCUUUGACUAGGAUGCUGGCAUAAUGACCUUAAGCCGCCCGUCUUGACCACCGGACCAAUGUGCUACAGCAGGCGCACUA